Molecule: unclassified non-coding RNA, 345 nt
Filed under: soil metagenome
Description: partial contains 5.8S ribosomal RNA, internal transcribed spacer 2, and large subunit ribosomal RNA
Rfam family: 5.8S ribosomal RNA (bases 1-120)
Source: RNAcentral
GAUGAAGAACGUAGCGAAACGCGAUAGGUAAUGUGAAUUGCAGAAUUCCGUGAAUCAUCGAAUCUUUGAACGCACAUUGCGCCCCCUGGUAUUCCGGGGGGCAUGCCUGUCCGAGCGUCAUUGCUGCCCUCAAGCACGGCUUGUGUGUUGGGCCUCCGUCCUCCUCCCGGGGGACGGGCCCGAAAGGCAGCGGCGGCACCGCGUCCGGUCCUCGAGCGUAUGGGGCUUCGUCACCCGCUCUUGUAGGCCCGGCCGGCGCUUGCCGACACAUCAAUCUUUUUUCCAGGUUGACCUCGGAUCAGGUAGGGAUACCCGCUGAACUUAAGCAUAUCAAUAAGCGGAGGA